RNAcentral lists this ribosomal RNA (430 nucleotides) under uncultured bacterium. RNAcentral describes it as "bacterial SSU rRNA". It matches the Rfam family "Bacterial small subunit ribosomal RNA", at positions 79 to 544 of the family's 1533-position model. The record is from RNAcentral.
UUCGGGACGCCGGCGAGUGGCGAACGGGUGAGUAACGCGUGGAUACCUGUCCCAUGGUGGGGAAUAACGUUUAGAAAUGAACGCUAAUACCGCAUAAGCCCUGCGGGGGAAAGAUUUAUCGCCAUGGGAGGGGUCCGCGUCGGAUUAGCUAGUUGGUGGGGUAAAGGCCUACCAAGGCGACGAUCCGUAGCUGGUCUGAGAGGAUGAUCAGCCACACUGGGACUGAGACACGGCCCAGACUCCUACGGGAGGCAGCAGUGGGGAAUAUUGCGCAAUGGGGGAAACCCUGACGCAGCGACGCCGCGUGGGUGAAGAAGGCCUUAGGGUUGUAAAGCCCUUUCAGUGGGAACGAUGAUGACGGUACCCACAGAAGAAGCUCCGGCUAACUCCGUGCCAGCAGCCGCGGUAAUACGGAGGGGGCUAGCGUUGU